AUACGUAGGUGGCGAGCGUUGUCCGGAAUUACUGGGCGUAAAGGGAGCGUAGGCGGAUUUUUAAGUGAGAUGUGAAAUACCCGAGCUUAACUUGGGAGCUGCAUUCCAAACUGGAUAUCUAGAGUGCAGGAGAGGAAAGUAGAAUUCCUAGUGUAGCGGUGAAAUGCGUAGAGAUUAGGAAGAAUACCAGUGGCGAAGGCGGCUUUCUGGACUGUAACUGACACUGAGGCACGAAAGCAUGGGUAGC
RNAcentral lists this ribosomal RNA (247 nucleotides) under uncultured bacterium. RNAcentral's name for it is "partial 16S ribosomal RNA". It matches the Rfam family "Bacterial small subunit ribosomal RNA", at positions 523 to 769 of the family's 1533-position model. The record is from RNAcentral.